RNAcentral lists this ribosomal RNA (311 nucleotides) under uncultured bacterium. Its description in RNAcentral is "bacterial SSU rRNA". It matches the Rfam family "Bacterial small subunit ribosomal RNA", at positions 28 to 334 of the family's 1533-position model. The record is from RNAcentral.
GACGAACGCUGGCGGCGCGCCUAACACAUGCAAGUCGAACGAGAGAGAGGAAGCUUGCUUCCUUAAUCGAGUGGCGAACGGGUGAGUAACGCGUGAGGAACCUGCCUCAAAGAGGGGGACAACAGUUGGAAACGACUGCUAAUACCGCAUAAGCCCACAGCUCGGCAUCGAGCAGAGGGAAAAGGAGUGAUCCGCUUUGAGAUGGCCUCGCGUCCGAUUAGCUAGUUGGUGAGGUAACGGCCCACCAAGGCGACGAUCAGUAGCCGGUCUGAGAGGAUGAACGGCCACAUUGGGACUGAGAUACGGCCCAG